GCGCCCGUAGCUCAGUGGAUAGAGCGUCAGCCUCCGGAGCUGAAAGCGCAGGUUCGAUCCCUGCCAGGGGUGCCA
This 75-nucleotide transfer RNA is filed under the name Desulfobacteraceae bacterium. RNAcentral describes it as "tRNA-Arg". It matches the Rfam family "tRNA". From Rfam's summary of the family: Transfer RNA (tRNA) molecules are approximately 80 nucleotides in length. Their secondary structure includes four short double-helical elements and three loops (D, anti-codon, and T loops). The record is from RNAcentral. Lineage: Bacteria; Pseudomonadati; Thermodesulfobacteriota; Desulfobacteria; Desulfobacterales; Desulfobacteraceae.